UCAUGUCACCUGGGACUAGACAGAUUUACUUCUUUUUCAAUCUGGAUGCUUUUUUAUUUUCUUGCCUAAUUUCACUGGGGAGAAUCUUUAGCAGUGUUAAAGAAAAGUGAUGACCAUUCUAAGUAACACCGAGGGUUAGUUCAGUGAUCUCAUCAACUUAGCUUCCACAAAGCCUCCUGGUUCCUGUUUUCUACGUAUCUUUCGUCAUCUCAGUAAGGCAAGUGAAAAACUUUGCUGAGAAAACACUGUCCCUGUCCUUCCCUCAAGGCAACGUCCAACUUAAACAAAUUGGCCCAUGCUUGAUACACACUUGCCAUUCAUGUCCUCAAGCUUCCGAAGGCCUGUCAGCAAAUGAAUGAAUGGAGGUCAUGUUUAUACUUACACUGUCAACAGUCAGCAAUUGUUGGGACUGAAUUAUUCUCAUGGCUAGUUAUUAAAUCAUUAAGUCUUAAAAGUUUAUUCAUCCUAACAGUGCUCAGGACAAUCUAGUUUUGUUUUUCUAAAUGAUGAAUAAAAUGUUUUCAAAUUUGAGGGUCUGAAUGAACCUAACAAAUUAUCACCCUUCUAAAAGGAACUUAUAACAGAGCCAUGAUUUAUAACUUUGAAGAUGUCAAACUUCUUUGCUAACAAUAAAUACUUACUGACUUCACAUUAGCUGCCAUGUCCAUCAACGAGGAAACAGAAAGGUGAAGUGAAACUCACUAUAUCUCACGAUAUUUCCAAUGCAGACUAUGGAGAGAUAGAGAAGAGAUAAGAAAGAGAAAGAGUUCCAGGGAACAUGUGCAGGAUGUGCAGUUUUGUUACAUAGGUAAACGUGUACCAUGGUGGUUUGCUGAACCUAUCAACCCAUCACUGAGGUAUUAAGCCCCACAUGCAUUAGCUAUUUAUCCCGAUGCUCUCCCUCCCCCGACCCCAUGACAGGACCCAGUGUGUGCUGUUCCUUUCCCUGUGCCCAUGUGUUCUCACUAAAAACAUAAAAUUUUAAUAGAAUCUCUUUUCAUUUAGAAGGUGACAAUUCUAUAGUUUCUUAAUGAUAAAAAAUAUUUUUAACUUCUAAAGCUAAUUAAAAUUGCUUAUAAUUUGAUUAUAUAUUAUAUACUAUUUAAAAACAUAGCACCUUAUUUCAUGGCUGAGGUUAUCUCUAGAAAUACAAAUAUCUUUUUGCCUGUCUUUUGAAAACACAGAAUAAUACAGUCAUGUUUACAAAUAAUCUUUUUAGAGCGUGCAAUAAAAGAGUUCUACCCUGGCUAAGAAGAAAUUACUG
This 1264-nucleotide long non-coding RNA is filed under the name Homo sapiens (human). RNAcentral describes it as "novel transcript". Lineage: Eukaryota; Metazoa; Chordata; Mammalia; Primates; Hominidae. The record is from RNAcentral.